Molecule: long non-coding RNA, 923 nt
Organism: Ornithodoros turicata
Lineage: Eukaryota; Metazoa; Arthropoda; Arachnida; Ixodida; Argasidae
Exons: 4
Source: RefSeq, a predicted model, not a curated record
CUGAUCCCAGUGGUACCCUUGCCUGAUGCCCCUCAACGGAGAGCAGAGCAAAGACACUUAGCACGAAGGCGCAAAUACGCCUCGCAUUUACAACAACUGAGAAGUCAGAACAAUGUCUCUGAAUGAUGAUUGGCUGCGAGAGUGUUGAAGAUACCCAUCUUAGCUCCUGUUUUGGAACAGCUCUUUUCCCAUAGCGUAGCUACUCUGCCUGUACCGAAAUUUCUAGAAGCUAAUUUGUUUAUUUACAGGAAUGACUUGAAUGGCAGACUAUGCUACACCACGACAGACACGCAAAAUGCGCCUACAUUUUCAGGAGUAGUGGGAUUCAACGUAGAUAAUUUCUGUAAGGCGAGCGCUGCAUUAGAUGGACAAACAGCGGGCAAAGGCUCUACAGUGAGCGAAUUGUGCACCACGCCGUGUGGCCUUCAGAAUUUCGUGUAUCAUACCAUCUUCCUUGGUCCAUGCAAGGCGCCGCAGACUUCCGGACAAGCAUGCUUCGAUGACGACCAUGUGCUGUGCUUCUUCAAUCAAUGUGAAAAGAAAUACAGCGAGAUAAAAGCGCUGGCCCGUCGUAACUGGAACCAACCAGACAGCUAUUACGACGAACGUGCUGCCUGUGCUAAAUACCCUUGACGUGGCGUUCAUCGUGCUCAAGUUACCUGGACGUGUCCUGCACAUUACCUUGAUCAGACUAUGUGGCUGCUGUGCUGUGUUCAAUAUUCCCUGGAUUGAGACACUGUUUCAUAGCUGAGAAUUGUUGACGAUGUGACUCGAUAACGCAUUGAUGCUCCAUUGCGACUUGUGUGUGUAAUUGAUGAAACUGUGCUACAAGAGCUACAACUUCAGAGUGCGUAAAGUGGGAUACAACUCGAAACAAGGCUGAUCCUUGGUCGGUGAUUCUACAUUACGCGCUGCGACUGCCA